RNAcentral lists this long non-coding RNA (244 nucleotides) under Elaeis guineensis (African oil palm). RNAcentral describes it as "long non-coding RNA (EGUI_LNC074209)". The record is from RNAcentral. Lineage: Eukaryota; Viridiplantae; Streptophyta; Magnoliopsida; Arecales; Arecaceae.
AUCUGAAACUGAGCCAUCAACCUGGCUCUGAUAUCAGUUGAAAGGAAAACUGCUUUUUUCCUUUGUAGGAUCUUCCAGAUUUCAUCAAAUCUGGGAUGGAAUAAUUUAAAAAUUUUAUCCUAUGCUAUUUUAGAUCUAAUAUUUAUUAGAUCUAAUUUUAUUAUCUGAUAUUUAAAAUCUAAAAUUAAAUCUAAAAGCAUGAGAAGUAUAGACAUACCUCAAGGGUAAUCUGAAUAUCCUGUAG